AUGGAGCGAUUCCAGAUUCCCCCACCACCCAAGUUUGACUUCACAAAGCCAGAAGAGUGGCCCAAGUGGAUUCAAAGGUUUGAGAGAUUCCGGAUUGCAUCGGGUCUAGAGCUACAGCCGGAUGAAAACCAGGUGAACACUUUAAUCUAUACUAUGGGGGACGAGGCGGAAGAUAUCGUGACUUCACUUCGUAUGACGGAGGAGGAGGCAAGCGUGUACAACACUGUCAAAGAGAAGCUAGAGGGACAUUUCGUGGUGAGGAGAAAUGUUAUUUUUGAGCGAGCCAAAUUCAACCAGAGACAGCAGGAACAAGGAGAGACUGUGGACAGUUUUAUCACCGCACUCCACUGCUUGUCAGAGCACUGCGGCUAUGGACAGCUGCACGACGAAAUGGUCCGUGACAGACUUGUUGUAGGCUUGCGCGAUAAAAAGCUGUCGGAGCAACUGCAGCUGGACUCGGAGCUAACGCUGGAGAGAGCGGUGAUGCGCGCGCGUCAGAGCAUUCAAACAAAACACAAAUUCGACAAAGGCAAAGGAAGACAGCAGAAAAUGCAGGCUGGAACAAAUGAUAAAAGCAGUUAUCAGACACAGCCAGGUAACCAGACACGAUGCAUGUGGUGUGGUAGAACGCCAGCACACAGCAAAAAUCAGUGCCCAGCUAGAGAAGUAGCAUGUAACCGGUGUCAGAAAAAGGGUCACUACGCAAAAGUGUGGAGGUCAGGGGCUCUCAAUGAAGUUAACACAGCAGAGUCAGAUGAGGAGGAAAUAGCUUCCCUAGGCACAGUCAGUUCAGAUGAUGAACCAUGGCUAAUCAACCUUAAAGUGAAUGAGUACACAGCUGUAUUCAAAAUAGAUACAGGGGCAGACGUAACAGUGCUAUCUGAAGAUGUAUUUCAGAAAGGGCAGUUUCCGGAGCUAGAGAGAGCAAAGAAAGUGCUGCAGGGUCCAGGUCUGACACCCAUCACGGUGAAGGGGAAGUUCCAAGCCACUAUAGGAACAGACAGUAAAAGCACCACACAGGAAGUGUACGUAGUCCCGGGUCUGAAGUUUAGCCUACUGGGACGUCCAGCUAUCCAGGCAUUAGGGCUAGUGGCUAGAGUAGACACAGUGGCACUGGAUUCAGUCGAGAGAGUCAAGGAGCAGUUCCCCACAAUGUUCAAAGGGCUAGGCAAGAUGGAGGGUGAAUACAAGAUAGAGCUUAAAGCAGACGCCAAACCAUUCUCCAUAUCAACCCCACGACGAAUCCCGCUGCCUCUCAUGUCUAAAGUAAAAAAAAAGAACUCACGCGCAUGGAAGAGAUGGGGGUGA
Molecule: long non-coding RNA, 1308 nt
Organism: Cyprinus carpio carpio
Lineage: Eukaryota; Metazoa; Chordata; Actinopteri; Cypriniformes; Cyprinidae
Source: Ensembl